UACGGAGGAUGCGAGCGUUAUCCGGAUUUAUUGGGUUUAAAGGGUGCGUAGGCGGACUGUCAAGUCAGCGGUAAAAUACGGGGGCUCAACCUCCGCCCGCCGUUGAAACUGACGGUCUUGAGUGGGCGAGAAGUAUGCGGAAUGCGUGGUGUAGCGGUGAAAUGCAUAGAGAUCACACAGAACACCGAUUGCGAAGGCAGCUUACAAAUCUAUAUCGGACGCUGAGGCACGAAAGCGUGGGGAGCAAACAGG
This 252-nucleotide ribosomal RNA is filed under the name uncultured Bacteroidales bacterium. Its description in RNAcentral is "partial 16S ribosomal RNA". It matches the Rfam family "Bacterial small subunit ribosomal RNA", at positions 524 to 776 of the family's 1533-position model. Lineage: Bacteria; Pseudomonadati; Bacteroidota; Bacteroidia; Bacteroidales. The record is from RNAcentral.